ACAGAGGGUGCGAGCGUUAAUCGGAAUUACUGGGCGUAAAGCGUGCGUAGGCGGAUAUUUAAGUCGAAUGUGAAAGCCCUGGGCUCAACCUAGGAACUGCAUCCGAUACUGGAUAUCUAGAGUAUGGUAAAGGAAAGUGGAAUUCCCGGUGUAGCGGUGAAAUGCGUAGAUAUCGGGAGGAACAUCAAUGGCGAAGGCAACUUUCUGGACCAAUACUGACGCUGAGGUACGAAAGCGUGGGGAGCAAACAGG
RNAcentral lists this ribosomal RNA (252 nucleotides) under uncultured bacterium. Its description in RNAcentral is "partial 16S ribosomal RNA". It matches the Rfam family "Bacterial small subunit ribosomal RNA", at positions 525 to 776 of the family's 1533-position model. The record is from RNAcentral.